UACGAAGGGGGCUAGCGUUGUUCGGAAUUACUGGGCGUAAAGGGCGCGCAGGCGGCCCUCCAAGUCAGGUGUGAAAGCCCCGGGCUCAACCCGGGAAUAGCGCUUGAGACUGGGGGGCUUGAGUUCGGGAGAGGAGAGUGGAAUUCCCAGUGUAGAGGUGAAAUUCGUAGAUAUUGGGAAGAACACUGGUGGCGAAGGCGGCUCUCUGGACCGACACUGACGCUGAGGCGCGAAAGCGUGGGGAGCAAACAGG
RNAcentral lists this ribosomal RNA (253 nucleotides) under uncultured bacterium. RNAcentral's name for it is "partial 16S ribosomal RNA". It matches the Rfam family "Bacterial small subunit ribosomal RNA", at positions 524 to 776 of the family's 1533-position model. The record is from RNAcentral.